Molecule: ribosomal RNA, 735 nt
Filed under: uncultured Fusobacterium sp.
Lineage: Bacteria; Fusobacteriati; Fusobacteriota; Fusobacteriia; Fusobacteriales; Fusobacteriaceae
Description: bacterial SSU rRNA
Rfam family: Bacterial small subunit ribosomal RNA
Source: RNAcentral
GAUGAACGCUGACAGAAUGCUUAACACAUGCAAGUCAACUUGAAUUUGGGUUUUUAACUUAGAUUUGGGUGGCGGACGGGUGAGUAACGCGUAAAGAACUUGCCUCACAGCUAGGGACAACAUUUAGAAAUGAAUGCUAAUACCUGAUAUUAUGAUUUUAAGGCAUCUUAGAAUUAUGAAAGCUAUAAGCACUGUGAGAGAGCUUUGCGUCCCAUUAGCUAGUUGGAGAGGUAACAGCUCACCAAGGCGAUGAUGGGUAGCCGGCCUGAGAGGGUGAACGGCCACAAGGGGACUGAGACACGGCCCCUACUCCUACGGGAGGCAGCAGUGGGGAAUAUUGGACAAUGGACCGAAAGUCUGAUCCAGCAAUUCUGUGUGCACGAUGAAGUUUUUCGGAAUGUAAAGUGCUUUCAGUUGGGAAGAAAGAAAUGACGGUACCAACAGAAGAAGUGACGGCUAAAUACGUGCCAGCAGCCGCGGUAAUACGUAUGUCACGAGCGUUAUCCGGAUUUAUUGGGCGUAAAGCGCGUCUAGGUGGUUAUGUAAGUCUGAUGUGAAAAUGCAGGGCUCAACUCUGUAUUGCGUUGGAAACUGUAUAACUAGAGUACUGGAGAGGUAAGCGGAACUACAAGUGUAGAGGUGAAAUUCGUAGAUAUUUGUAGGAAUGCCGAUGGGGAAGCCAGCUUACUGGACAGAUACUGACGCUAAAGCGCGAAAGCGUGGGUAGCAAACAGG